This 495-nucleotide ribosomal RNA is filed under the name uncultured bacterium. Its description in RNAcentral is "partial 16S ribosomal RNA". It matches the Rfam family "Bacterial small subunit ribosomal RNA", at positions 28 to 507 of the family's 1533-position model. The record is from RNAcentral.
GACGAACGCUGGCGGCGUGCCUAAUACAUGCAAGUAGAACGCUGAAGGAGGAGCUUGCUUCUCUGGAUGAGUUGCGAACGGGUGAGUAACGCGUAGGUAACCUGCCUGGUAGCGGGGGAUAACUAUUGGAAACGAUAGCUAAUACCGCAUAAGAUUGACUAUUGCAUGAUAGUCAGUUAAAAGGUGCAAUUGCAUCACUACCAGAUGGACCUGCGUUGUAUUAGCUAGUUGGUGGGGUAACGGCUCACCAAGGCGACGAUACAUAGCCGACCUGAGAGGGUGAUCGGCCACACUGGGACUGAGACACGGCCCAGACUCCUACGGGAGGCAGCAGUAGGGAAUCUUCGGCAAUGGACGGAAGUCUGACCGAGCAACGCCGCGUGAGUGAAGAAGGGUUUCGGAUCGUAAAGCUCUGUUGUAGGAGAAGAACGAGUGUGAGAGUGGAAAGUUCACACUGUGACGGUAUCUUACCAGAAAGGGACGGCUAACUACGUG